CCUACUGGUGGCAGCAGUGGGGCAUAUUGCACAAUGGGGUAAACCCUGAUGCAGCGACGCCGCGUGAGUGAAGAAGUAUUUCGGUAUGUAAAGCGCUAUCAGCAGGGAAGAAGAAAGACGGUACCUGACUCAGAAGCCCCGGCUGACUACGUACCAGCAGCCGCGGUAAUACGUAGGGGGCAAGCGUUAUCCGGAUUUCAUGGGUGUAAAGGGAGCGUAGACGGCUGUGCAAGUCUGAAGUGAAAGACCAGGGCUCAACCCUGGGACUGCUUUGGAAACUGUGGAGCUAGAGUGCUGGAGAGGUAAGUGGAAGUCCUAGUGUAGCGGUGAAAUGCGUAGAUAGUAGGAGGAACACCAGGGGCGAAGGCGGCUUACUGGACAGUAACUGACGUUGAGGCUCGAAAGCGUGGGGAGAAAACAGGAUUAGAUACCCUAGUAGUC
Molecule: ribosomal RNA, 441 nt
Filed under: uncultured bacterium
Lineage: Bacteria
Description: partial 16S ribosomal RNA
Rfam family: Bacterial small subunit ribosomal RNA
Source: RNAcentral